RNAcentral lists this transfer RNA (74 nucleotides) under Azolla caroliniana (mosquito fern). RNAcentral's name for it is "tRNA-Pro". It matches the Rfam family "tRNA". From Rfam's summary of the family: Transfer RNA (tRNA) molecules are approximately 80 nucleotides in length. Lineage: Eukaryota; Viridiplantae; Streptophyta; Polypodiopsida; Salviniales; Salviniaceae. The record is from RNAcentral. RNAcentral also lists the same sequence under 4 other names.
CGGGAUAUAGCGCAGUUUGGUAGCGCGCCACCUUGGGGUGGUGGAGGUCACAGGUUCGAAUCCUGUUAUUCCGA